Molecule: small nucleolar RNA, 84 nt
Organism: Cercocebus atys (sooty mangabey)
Lineage: Eukaryota; Metazoa; Chordata; Mammalia; Primates; Cercopithecidae
Gene: SNORD79
Rfam family: Small nucleolar RNA SNORD79
About the family: snoRNA U79 or Z22 is found in intron 7 of the gas5 gene in humans and is also present in mice. U79 is a member of the C/D class of snoRNA which contain C (UGAUGA) and D (CUGA) box motifs. Most of the members of the C/D box family function in directing site-specific 2'-O-methylation of substrate RNAs.
Source: Ensembl
UCAUGUUAGUGAUGGCUUUCAAAGUUCACACAGACGAGAAUCUCUCUGAAAGACAAUGAAGAUCAGUUUGAAACAGAAACAGUA